This 446-nucleotide ribosomal RNA is filed under the name uncultured bacterium. RNAcentral describes it as "partial 16S ribosomal RNA". It matches the Rfam family "Bacterial small subunit ribosomal RNA", at positions 338 to 795 of the family's 1533-position model. The record is from RNAcentral.
CCUACGGGUGGCAGCAGUCGAGAAUCAUUCACAAUGGGGGAAACCCUGAUGGUGCGACGCCGCGUGGGGGAAUGAAGUUCUUCGGAUUGUAAACCCCUGUCAUGUGGGAGCAAAGUAAAAAGAUAGUACCACAAUAGGAAGAGACUGCUAACUCUGUGCCAGCAGCCGCGGUAAUACAGAGGUCUCACGCGUUGUUCGGAAUCACUGGGCGUAAAGCGUGCGUAGGCUGUUUCGUAAGUCGUGUGUGAAAGGCGCGGGCUCAACCCGCGGACGGCACAUGAUACUGCGAGACUAGAGUAAGGGAGGGGGAACCGGAAUUCUCGGUGUAGCAGUGAAAUGCGUAGAUAUCGAGAGGAACACUCGUGGCGAAGGCGGGUUCCUGGACAGUAACUGACGCUGAGGCACGAAGGCCAGGGGAGCGAAAGGGAUUAGAUACCCGGGUAGUC